Molecule: ribosomal RNA, 435 nt
Filed under: uncultured bacterium
Lineage: Bacteria
Description: partial 16S ribosomal RNA
Rfam family: Bacterial small subunit ribosomal RNA
Source: RNAcentral
AGCGAACGCUGGCGGCAUGCUUAACACAUGCAAGUCGCACGGAUCUUUCGGGAUCAGUGGCGGACGGGUGAGUAACGCGUAGGGAUCUAUCCAUGGGUGGGGGACAACUCCGGGAAACUGGAGCUAAUACCGCAUGAUACCUGAGGGUCAAAGGCGCAAGUCGCCUGUGGAGGAACCUGCGUUCGAUUAGCUAGUUGGUGGGGUAAAGGCCUACCAAGGCGAUGAUCGAUAGCUGGUUUGAGAGGAUGAUCAGCCACACUGGGACUGAGACACGGCCCAGAAUCCUACGGGAGGCAGGAGUGGGGAAUAUUGGACAAUGGGCGAAAGCCUGAUCCAGCAAUGCCGCGUGUGUGAAGAAGGUCUUCGGAUUGUAAAGCACUUUCGACGGGGACGAUGAUGACGGUACCCGUAGAAGAAGCCCCGGCUAACUUCGUG